GCUGCCGGCAGGGCAUGGCGCUCACCCUCUGCUACGUGCUGCUCACCUUCCUUACCCUGCUGCUCCUGUCCUGGGGUUCAGAGACUCUCAAGAGUCAAGUGGUUCUUGUGACUGUAGGGGAGUCUGUGUCGAUGGAGUGUCCUUUCCACAAGUACAACGGCACUAGCAACCCCUUCUAUGAGAUCCUCUGGAGCCACAGGAAUGAGUCCAGAAGGGUCCUGCAGUUUAGGAUGACCCGAUCCAAUCAGUCCUGUGUGUAUGACAGUAAAGGUCGCUUCAGUGGCGUUCUGGAUUUUGGAAGGAGCGUGAGCUUUCUCAACAUCUCAGCGGUGCUUAUGAAUGACACUGGCCUUUACCUUUGCUAUGUGAAGAUAGGGAUCAACAAUCCAACUAAAAAGGCGAUUCACCUGCUUGUUAGAGGUCUGCAUCCCUGGGCGGCCCCUGGGGACCUCAGCUACUCUGCACCUCAAGGCAGUAAAGUCACCCUGGACUGUGAUUUCCCCACUAACCUGACUGGCAACUUCACAGAUCUCUUCUGGCUGCACAAACGAGACCAGAGCCCGCCCCGACUCAUAGCAUGGCACCUCAAGUCCGGUUUCCAGAUUGAGAACGGCAGCAUUGGAAGUCGUUUCCAGAGCUCAUUAGAUCUGGAAAAUCACUGGAGCCGUCUCACCAUUACUGGGUUGGAAGCGAAGGAUGGUGGCUGGUACCAGUGUCAGAGAGGCCUGGGAGAGCUUUCUGGUGGGCAGAGGGGGAGGGGAACCAACCUCACUGUGAAAGGUGAGCGUGUUUCCAGGGACAUCGUGGGGCAAGUGAAAAUCCUUCUGUCCCUGUUGGCCUUUAUGUUUCAGUCGCUCCAUCUAAUCUAUGGCUUUAGUGACAGGAUGGGUGUGAGUCUUCUCAUCUAAGACACAUCUUACUGUGCAGAGUGCUUCUCAUUCACCUUGCUACCACCCUGCGGAGUUUGGGGAGUGCAGGUAGGCAAGAGCUGGAGCUGCGUCUGCAGCACACUUGUACCUGCACUGGCUGAGGGGGCUGGCAGCCCAGAGUGCAAGCUGCUGUUAUGGUGCAACGGCAAGGCUUUGCAAAGUCGCAGAACAUCAGUGCAAGAUGCACAGAUAUAUUUAAAGUAUCUACAAAACCACAGAAGUUCAUCUGUGAGGUUAUGUGCCUGUUGCUGCAGAUGGUUAUCUGUAAAAGUUGUUGAUCGCUGGUGAUGUGACCCUUCCAGGAACCAAUUUCAUCUGUAUCUAAUAGCAACGUAGGUUUUUAAUGCAUGCAGUUUAGUGUGCAAAGCAUCUUUUAUCCUGUGUAACUCAGUAAUAACAAAACCCAGCCUGGCCAAUUAACACGGUUAGUUAAACUUACACAGUAAUUUGGGCUCGCCAUGACUCACGUGGGAAAUAGAUGAUGUGAGGAUAAAACACGACCCUGUCUUGAACUGUAAGAUGUGCCAUGUCUUUGUUGAUUUGCAGCCAAAAGGAAUGUAACUCAUAUUUCAGAAGACAUUCUUAAAAGUUGGGCUGGUUCCUUGUGUUCUUCUUUCUGCAUCCUCAUGCUGAGGAAAGCACCAGCACUGUGUGACAGGAUGGGCACAGCCUGCUUCCUCCCUGCUUUUAGCCUUUUUUUCACAGGUUUUCUUCAAUGUCUCACUCACAUUCCUGAGCUGCAGAGGUCAGAGCCUGUUGCGUUUUCACUGAAACCACAAACCCACUUGCAGGUUUGCACAUCCCAGUAGCUAUUACAAUAUGAACAGCAUGAGUACAAGCCUGCUUUCUCCUUUCUAGGCUCUUCAUCUGCCCUGAUUAUGUUUUUGAGGAGCGCUGUGUUUGCUGUGAUUGCUCCGUGCUUGUAUUUGCUGUGUGUCGUGUCCAGCUGAUGAGACGGAACACCUUGGCGGACAGACUGCAUCCCCACUGCGAGCCUUCGGAGACCA
Molecule: RNA transcript, 1936 nt
Organism: Gallus gallus (chicken)
Lineage: Eukaryota; Metazoa; Chordata; Aves; Galliformes; Phasianidae
Exons: 4
Source: RefSeq, a predicted model, not a curated record